CCUGGAUCUCUGAACUCCACUUCACUCAACAUUAUGUCAUCUUAUACUCUGAGAAACAUCUUGGGACAUUUGUACCUGGAUUUCCUUCAGGCUUGAUGUUUGGUAUUCCUUAUAGACCUCCACACCAUAAUUACAGGUGAUUUUAACCAGAAAUGCCGCCCAUUAGCUCUGUCAAGAGGAACAAUAUUCAACAUGCCACCACACUGG
This is a long non-coding RNA of Microtus oregoni (creeping vole), 207 nucleotides long. RefSeq lists it as uncharacterized. The record is from RefSeq and is a predicted model, not a curated record. The transcript is spliced from 2 exons. NCBI's taxonomy places the organism in Eukaryota, Metazoa, Chordata, Mammalia, Rodentia, Cricetidae.